CCUUCGAUAGCUCAGUCUGUAGAGCGGUGGACUGUAGAUCCAUAGGUCGCUGGUUCAAAUCUGGCUCGAAGGA
RNAcentral lists this transfer RNA (73 nucleotides) under Helicoverpa zea (corn earworm). RNAcentral describes it as "tRNA-Tyr". It matches the Rfam family "tRNA". Rfam says of the family: Transfer RNA (tRNA) molecules are approximately 80 nucleotides in length. Their secondary structure includes four short double-helical elements and three loops (D, anti-codon, and T loops). Further hydrogen bonds mediate the characteristic L-shaped molecular structure. tRNAs have two regions of fundamental functional importance: the anti-codon, which is responsible for specific mRNA codon recognition, and the 3' end, to which the tRNAs corresponding amino acid is attached (by aminoacyl-tRNA synthetases). tRNAs cope with the degeneracy of the genetic code in two manners: having more than one tRNA (with a specific anti-codon) for a particular amino acid; and 'wobble' base-pairing, i.e. permitting non-standard base-pairing at the 3rd anti-codon position. Lineage: Eukaryota; Metazoa; Arthropoda; Insecta; Lepidoptera; Noctuidae. The record is from RNAcentral.